GCGGUCGUAGUCUAGCUUGGUUAGGACAUCGGCUUCCCAAGCCGGUUACCCGGGUUCAAAUCCCGGCGACCGCA
This 74-nucleotide transfer RNA is filed under the name Candidatus Bathyarchaeota archaeon. RNAcentral's name for it is "tRNA-Gly". It matches the Rfam family "tRNA". Rfam says of the family: Transfer RNA (tRNA) molecules are approximately 80 nucleotides in length. Their secondary structure includes four short double-helical elements and three loops (D, anti-codon, and T loops). The record is from RNAcentral. Lineage: Archaea; Thermoproteati; Candidatus Bathyarchaeota.